Molecule: long non-coding RNA, 534 nt
Filed under: Anser brachyrhynchus (Pink-footed goose)
Lineage: Eukaryota; Metazoa; Chordata; Aves; Anseriformes; Anatidae
Description: lncRNA (ENSABRG00000020420.1)
Source: RNAcentral
GUGAGAAGGAAGGUCAAAAUCCUGUGAGAAGAAUCCUGUGAGCAGCAACCUGUGGUGUUUGAGCAGCAGGAGACUCGGAGGGCCUGGGAGAGAGGCUUCCAAGAAACAGCUGACCACAAGGAUGAAACUCGUGUGGGAGGAAGAGGGAGCAUGCUUGGCAGCUGGCCUCCAACGCAGGAAUCGCUGCCACAGGAGGACAGAGAAUAUUUUGUGGCAGCUCAGCUUAUCAUGCAUUUUUGUGCAGACCCUUCCAGUUUCUCAGUGAUGUUCUGUCUGCUUGAAUGGCUGUCCAUGUGUGCUUGGUCCAUGUCUGAGAUAAGGACUGCACCCAGCUUGCACCUGCUUUCUGGUGCUGCCUCUUGGGCUUCCCUGCUUGCAGGGAGCAAAGAUGCAGUGAGUCUGAGCACAGAGAACAAGAUGACUUCUCCAGCAGGAACCACAGACCCGAUCAUCUUCUUUCACUGCACACCCAUUGCUGUCAUAAUUUCCCCUACUGCAAAUAAGAGAGCUGUCUGGUCUCACGUGUUCAUGUAG